UCAAACUUGGUCAUUUAGAGGAAGUAAAAGUCGUAACAAGGUCUCCGUUGGUGAACCAGCGGAGGGAUCAUUACGAAAAGGGAGUCCCCGUACUCUCCAACCCUUUGUGAACAUACCAUUGUCAGUUGCUUCGGCGGGAGGCCCCUGGGAGGGGCCCCGGGGCCCGGCCCGAGCCGGGCUCCCGCCGGAGGAGCGCACCCCAAACUCUUGCUGUACCCCAGUGGCACGUCCGAGUACAAACAAAAAAACAAAUCAAAACUUUCAACAACGGAUCUCUUGGUUCUGGCAUCGAUGAAGAACGCAGC
Molecule: unclassified non-coding RNA, 305 nt
Filed under: uncultured fungus
Lineage: Eukaryota; Fungi
Description: partial contains small subunit ribosomal RNA, internal transcribed spacer 1, and 5.8S ribosomal RNA
Rfam family: Eukaryotic small subunit ribosomal RNA (bases 1-73)
Source: RNAcentral